Molecule: ribosomal RNA, 449 nt
Filed under: uncultured bacterium
Lineage: Bacteria
Description: bacterial SSU rRNA
Rfam family: Bacterial small subunit ribosomal RNA
Source: RNAcentral
UGGGGAAUAUUGGACAAUGGGCGCAAGCCUGAUCCAGCAAUGCCGCGUGUGUGAAGAAGGCCUUCGGGUUGUAAAGCACUUUCAGUGGGGAGAAAGGGGUGAAUGCUAAUACCAUUUAUCAUUGAUGUUACCCAAAGAAGAAGCAUCGGCUAACUCUGUGCCAGCAGCCGCGGUAAUACAGAGGAUGCAAGCGUUAAUCGGAAUGACUGGGCGUAAAGCGUGUGUAGGUGGUUGGAUAAGUUAGGUGUGAAAUCCCCGGGCUCAACCUGGGAACUGCGCUUAAGACUGUUCAACUAGAGUACUGUAGAGGAUAGUGGAAUUUCCAGUGUAGCGGUGAAAUGCGUAGAUAUUGGAAGGAACACCAGUGGCGAAGGCGACUAUCUGGAUAGAUACUGACACUGAGACACGAAAGCGUGGGGAGCAAACAGGAUUAGAUACCCGGGUAGUCC